CCCGCAAAACGUUCUAUCGCUGCCCGAGUAAUUGGGCGGAGGAAAGUCCGGGCAACGCAGAGCAUCCUGCUUCCUAACGGGAAGGCGCCUCGCAGCGGGCGACAGCCAGUGCCACAGAGAAUAUACCGCCGGCACCGCCGGUAAGGGUGAAAACGUGAGGUAAGAGCUCACGGCUUGUAUAGGCGACUAUACUUGCGGUAAACCUCAGGAGUUGAAAGACCAAAUAGGUCACGGAAUAUCAGGGUGGCUCGCUUUGUACAGGCUUCGGCCCGUAUCCGUGAUGGGUAGGUUGAUAAAGCCUGUUAGCAAUAACAGGACGAGAUUAAUGAUAGAAACUGCCGCCAGGCAGCACAGAACCCGGCUUACAGUUUUGUUGCUGUA
This 381-nucleotide RNase P RNA is filed under the name Mucilaginibacter terrae. RNAcentral's name for it is "RNase P class A". It matches the Rfam family "Bacterial RNase P class A". From Rfam's summary of the family: Ribonuclease P (RNase P) is a ubiquitous endoribonuclease, found in archaea, bacteria and eukarya as well as chloroplasts and mitochondria. Its best characterised activity is the generation of mature 5'-ends of tRNAs by cleaving the 5'-leader elements of precursor-tRNAs. The record is from RNAcentral. Lineage: Bacteria; Pseudomonadati; Bacteroidota; Sphingobacteriia; Sphingobacteriales; Sphingobacteriaceae.